RNAcentral lists this ribosomal RNA (385 nucleotides) under Bacillus sp. (in: firmicutes). RNAcentral describes it as "bacterial SSU rRNA". It matches the Rfam family "Bacterial small subunit ribosomal RNA", at positions 352 to 729 of the family's 1533-position model. Lineage: Bacteria; Bacillati; Bacillota; Bacilli; Caryophanales; Bacillaceae. The record is from RNAcentral.
CAGUAGGGAAUCUUCCGCAAUGGACGAAAGUCUGACGGAGCAACGCCGCGUGAGUGAUGAAGGUUUUCGGAUCGUAAAGCUCUGUUGUUAGGGAAGAACAAGUGCGAGAGUAACUGCUCGCACCUUGACGGUACCUAACCAGAAAGCCACGGCUAACUACGUGCCAGCAGCCGCGGUAAUACGUAGGUGGCAAGCGUUGUCCGGAAUUAUUGGGCGUAAAGGGCUCGCAGGCGGUUUCUUAAGUCUGAUGUGAAAGCCCCCGGCUCAACCGGGGAGGGUCAUUGGAAACUGGGAAACUUGAGUGCAGAAGAGGAGAGUGGAAUUCCACGUGUAGCGGUGAAAUGCGUAGAGAUGUGGAGGAACACCAGUGGCGAAGGCGACUCUC